Pogona vitticeps (central bearded dragon) is the source of this 2186-nucleotide long non-coding RNA. Lineage: Eukaryota; Metazoa; Chordata; Lepidosauria; Squamata; Agamidae. The record is from Ensembl.
GAAAAGGCAACAAGAGCAUUAUUAGCCCUGUAGCUCUAACUCCGCACAUAAAAACCAAUGCUAGCCAUGCCUGGGCUAUAAGGAAACUGGAUAGCCACAGUUGGGGAAUGUCACUGCUUUUGCUUUGGUGGCAUUUUGGUUGGCCCGAGUAAAGGUAGUAAUAAAGCAGUAAAGGUGGGUUUCAGUAUUUGUGCCACAUGUAGGGCUCCAACUCAGUCAAAUGUCCACUAGGGACUACCACACAGUUUUCUUGCGGGAGGAAGUGUUUAGGUUUUUUGUUUGUUUGUUGUUGUUUUUGCCUCAAUUAAUUUUGUGACAACGCGUUUAGUUUUAUCGCUGAAUAAUAAUACACGUGUCUGCAGUUCACCGCCAGCCGCUCCUCUCAGGAAAGCGGCAGGCGAGUUUAACAAUAGCUGAGAAGAGCUCUUCCUCGUGCGCUUGUGUCACCACGCUUUUCCCCUGCCGGCUGGCAGGCGCUCGGGGCCCCGAGCUUCCUCCGGAGCCCCUUCCUUCCGAGGCUGAAGGAAACCACCUGAGGGGCCUGUGGCGCGCGUGGGAAGGGAGGAGAGGAGGCGAAGAAGUGGGGCAAAAUUGGCGGGAACUGUCCCUUCGGCGCUUGGCGGAGCUGCUCUGCCGCUUGUUUUCGAGACUAGGCGGGGAAGCGUUUGAGGAGGAAAGGUUUCUAGACCGCAAGUGGCGAGCUGAGGGGGGGGGAACUGUGGUGUUGGGGUGCUCGUGUGGGGAAGAGGUGCCUUGCUGCGCCUCUAGGGCUUCCCCUCUACCGCGCCCCACUCCUGGUCUGGUGAGUCACCGGCAGGUCAGGAGGACCGCGCGGGAGAGGAGGGGCGAGGUGCCGCCGGGAGCCGCCACGCGAGCGGCGGAGGGAAAGGCUCCGCCAAGCCGAGACCCAGCCAGUCAAUACGCAAGCAACAAGCGAGCGAGAAAAGCCAGGAAGCCCGCGGAGCUGGAGGGCGCCUCGCUGGGCAGGCAAGCGCCGGCGGCGUCUCCCCCUCCUCUCCUCCAGGUGGCUCACGCCAAGAGAGGGAGUAGAGGAGGAAGCCGGUGGCACCACCACGGUGGGAUCCGAAAGGCACGACUCCCGAGGCGGAGAACCGGCCGGCUGAACAGCUGCAUCCUCCUCGCCUUCAGCAAGCAAGGGAUCGUUCCUAAGCCUGUGAAGUGGUGAUAAGACGAGAGAAGCUCUGAGCACGUGCAAAGCGCUUUCCUCGCCCCUGGGCAACCACAGGAGAUGCAAGAGGCGGGACUUCCACGGCAGGUGAUGCACAGGUGGCUUAAUCAGUGCCACUUUUCUUUCCUUAAAUAGAUGCUUAUUGGUAAAAAUCAGUGGAAACGCACACACCCAGAAGUUUCGAAACUGCCUGCGAUCCCAAUGCGGAGGAAUUUUAGCAGGUGUGGCCAAGCGGAAGUUGAACUUAAAGAAUCUGCCUUAGAACCUGUGACGUAAAAGGGAGUGCCUCUGAGAGAGUAUAAAGUGCAUUUUCUCCAUCUUACUUUAACCACUAGUUAUAUUUGCCAUUAGGAAACAAAAGCUCCCACGCGGUUUGGGGCCCCGUCACUUGUGCCUUUGCUUUUAAAUACACACCCUCCAGCGUCGAAUCUUGGGCUCUGGGGCGAGGUUUCUCUGUCUGCGAUUAUAACGCAGGAUCCGAUAUGGUAUUUUCUGACUCUUUGUUGAAAUGGAGUGGAUGGGAAUCUUCCGGAUCGAUGCACACAUGUAGUUUGCCAUUCACUUUAUAAAGAGGGGCGAGCGGGAGGAGAGAGAAAGAGGACGUGCUGAGCUCACUGGAAAGAGCGAAGAAUAAGCCAAGUCCUUUCUCUGAGAGAUGAUUGAAAUGAGAUCUUGGAUGAUUCAGGAGUGACUCUUUCUCCCCCCUCCCCCUCCCAAGGCGGAGUGGCAGAGAGGAGGGGGCCAGGGCGAAAGAACUGAAGUGGCUGGCGGCUCUGCAACGCGGCUUGCUUACAAAGAAGUUUGGAGACCCGCGAUCUGAGUCAGCUUGACGGCACCGGCGGCGGUGGCAUCGCCACCAAGACGCUGGCAAAGAAAGCCCCGGGAGUGUUUUUAAGAGGCAAAGGAGGCGAUCGCUCUGACAUCAACGCAUUCUUUCAGACAACCGUGCCCAGAAGGAGUGGUUUCUGCAGAGUGUUUGCAGGUGGACGCAACUCUU